UAUUUAAUUAAAGUUUCGAUUGUUUGUUGAAAAUUCCAUUUCUAGUCAUGUGCAAGACACACACACACUGCAUAUAUAUGCAUGUCAACUUGUAAUUGGAUAAUUAUUUUGAGCUGGAACAUUAAUAUUUGUUAAAAGAUCCCCAUGACUCUUCUUUUCCUUUCGAUGAUCCCUUGGUUGGUCUUCCUUCAGCCAGCAGCCAAAAGGGAACUUGAUUAUAAAAUCCCACUUCCCAACUACAUAAGUACGUGGCCUUUUUGCAUCCACGGAUCAGCAGCAUGAGCUGGUAUUGUUAGGCAGCCAUUGCUGAUAACAUGAAUGCAUACGUCACUGAUCAUAAUAUCUCUUAACAUAGUCAGCCCCAUUUCCCCUAUCACAUAGUCAACCCCAAGCCAGCCGGCCCCCUCCGAAACGCAAAACGGCACCGUUUUAACCAAAAAAUAAAAAAACCCUAGUGGUACACUAUAAAACCAUCCUUAUACAGUCCGCGCCCCACUUGGUCUUCUUCCAGAUUUUUCAGCUCUGCCUCUCUCUCUCUCAUCCUACGGUUCAGUCUUCAGCUCCUCUCCUCAUUCUACCUCCCGCUUUUUUUAUCUCUCUCUCUCUCUCUCUCUCUGUUUUAGUCUUUUAAUCCUUAUAAGUUUGUCGCAAUUUUUUUUUAAACAUACAAAUCUGAGGUUGUGGUUUUAAGAUCUGCACAAAAAAAAAAAAAAAAAAAAUUGUUCCCUUUCAUCUAUAUUGGCUUUGUGUUUUUGGUUCGUAUAAUUUUUUUUUUUCCUUGCCUCUGAUUUGAUCUAUUUUUCAGAUGUGUAGAAUUUUUUGUUUUUUCUUGCGGCUUGAGUUGGUCUACUUUUCGUAUGGUGGAUAUUUUUUUUUCCUGCCGUAUCAAUUGAUCUUCUUUCCAGAUCUGCAAAAUAUUUUUUUUCUUUUUGCGUUACAUUUAUAUUCGCUUCUACACGUCUCAUCUGUGUAGAAGUUUUUUUUCCUUGUCUGAGUUGAUAUAGUUUCAUAUCUGGAGAAUGAAUUUUUUUCCUUGCGUUUCAUGUAUACUCACUUUUGAUAUGUUGACAUAUGUAGAAGGAAAUUUGUUUUCCCGUCCGUUUGAUUUCUUCUAUUUUUAUUUGUUGUUGUUUGGCGUUUGAUGUAAAUUAGAUUUGUAUUCUUCAGAUCUGAACAACAAUUUUUUUUUCUUUCGAUCUAUGUUCCUAGGGUUCAUCUGUUUUCGAUUCAAGUUUUUUUUUUUCUUGCCUUUCAUUCCUACUAUUUUUUUUUUCUUGUUGGGUGUUUGAUGUAUAUUAGUUGUCUUUUUCAGAUCUGCAUAGCAAAAUUUUUUUUCCUUCUGAUCUUUAGCCUAGAGCAGUCUUUGUUCCAUGUACCUCACGCUCACAUGCUCUCUCCCUCACGACUUUUCCACCACCUUCGUGCUUCUGUGGAGCCACCGUCCACAACCCUUCAUUUUUCUUCUUCCCCUCUUCUCUUUUAGUCACCGUGGGUGCUUUCUCACCAUGGCCACACCCACAACAAAAUCAUCAUCGCUUUAACCACGUAGGGUUUUCUGUUGUUUGUCUUUAGGUUCUGUUUCUUUUGUUGGGUUGUGACCCGGUGGCCCUCUUGCCGCCAUCAUGUCAAGGUCACACGGCAUCACCGUAUGGUUGGGUGCAUCGUGGUUAGACAGCACGGCAAUCAGUUUUGGAUUCUAUCCAGACAAGAGUGGGAGUUGAUGGAUCUGAGGGACAAAUGAGAGGAAAGAGAUGUAAAGAGAGAUCAUCCAUGCGAGGGAAGAGAAAGGGACUACAGGCGUCAGGCUUGGGGAGGAGGAAGUACUUGGUGGUGGAAGAGACCAGAUAAGACCAUAUGUGCGUAGGAUUAUUUUUGAAAUUUUAUUUUGGAAUGAGUUUUUUUUUUUUUUUUUUAUUGUUGAAAGGGAGUUUUUUUUUUUUUUUUUGACUUUCUCGGUUGCAUUUGUUGUUUGGGUGGGUUUAUUUCACCAUCUCGUGUGUAUUAAGGAACUUUGUUUGAGUUUUUUUUUUUUUGAUGGCAUAUUAUUGGGUUUCUCGGUUGUAUUUGUUGUUUGGUGGAGGAACUUUUAUUUCUUAUGGUUAUUUUUCGAUUUUUAGGUUGGAUCUAUUAUUUAUUGGCUGUCAAGGUGAGGAAUAACUUGGCUUUAUUUUUUCACUGUUAA
Molecule: long non-coding RNA, 2182 nt
Organism: Carya illinoinensis
Lineage: Eukaryota; Viridiplantae; Streptophyta; Magnoliopsida; Fagales; Juglandaceae
Exons: 2
Source: RefSeq, a predicted model, not a curated record